Mycena leptocephala is the source of this 93-nucleotide non-coding RNA. The record is from the annotation of a GenBank genome assembly. Lineage: Eukaryota; Fungi; Basidiomycota; Agaricomycetes; Agaricales; Mycenaceae.
GCCUCGGUGGCGGAUGGUCCGCGUCUGCACCAAUUCGGUAAGAAAGAAGCGAAUAUUGCGCAGAAGUAGCUCGUUCAAUUCGAGCCCGAGGCA